UGACUGGGGCGGUCUCCUCCCAAAGCGUAACGGAGGAGCACGAAGGUUAGCUAAUCCUGGUCGGACAUCAGGAGGUUAGUGCAAUGGCAUAAGCUAGCUUGACUGCGAGCGUGACGGCGCGAGCAGGUGCGAAAGCAGGUCAUAGUGAUCCGGUGGUUCUGAAUGGAAGGGCCAUCGCUCAACGGAUAAAAGGUACUCCGGGGAUAACAGGCUGAUACCGCCCAAGAGUUCAUAUCGACGGCGGUGUUUGGCACCUCGAUGUCGGCUCAUCACAUCCUGGGGCUGAAGUAGGUCCCAAGGGUAUGGCUGUUCGCCAUUUAAAGUGGUACGCGAGCUGGGUUUAGAACGUCGUGAGACAGUUCGGUCCCUAUCUGCCGUGGGCGCUGGAGAAUUGAGGGGGGCUGCUCCUAGUACGAGAGGACCGGAGUGGACGCAUCACUGGUGUUCGGGUUGUCAUGCCAAUGGCACUGCCCGGUAGCUAAAUGCGGAAGAGAUAAGUGCUGAAAGCAUCUAAGCACGAAACUUGCCCCGAGAUGAGUUCUCCCUGAGACUUUAAGUCUCCUGAAGGAACGUUAAAGACGAUGACGUUGAUAGGCCGGGUGUGUAAGCGCAGCGAUGCGUUGAGCUAACCGGUACUAAUGAACCGUGAGGCUUAACCUU
RNAcentral lists this ribosomal RNA (660 nucleotides) under Klebsiella pneumoniae. RNAcentral describes it as "partial 23S ribosomal RNA". It matches the Rfam family "Bacterial large subunit ribosomal RNA", at positions 2270 to 2925 of the family's 2925-position model. Lineage: Bacteria; Pseudomonadati; Pseudomonadota; Gammaproteobacteria; Enterobacterales; Enterobacteriaceae. The record is from RNAcentral.